Molecule: long non-coding RNA, 314 nt
Filed under: Monodelphis domestica (gray short-tailed opossum)
Lineage: Eukaryota; Metazoa; Chordata; Mammalia; Didelphimorphia; Didelphidae
Description: lncRNA (ENSMODG00000040696.1)
Source: RNAcentral
CUCAUAAAAAGCUAAAAGCCUUUAUCAAAUGCUUAUUAUGUUCCAGGCACUAUUCUAAUAAGUGCCAGGAAUCCAAAGGCAAGCAAGAUAGUUCCAGUCCUCAGGAAGCUUAUAUUCUAAUGGAGUAAGACAGAAAUUGUAGAAAGGAGAGAGGGUGGAAGGAGAUGGCCUGGAAGUGGCUUGGAGUCAUUAGGUUAUAACAAGAUAUGGCUGAAGCUCACCAGUCAGCAUCAGAGGGCACAGGAAUGGAGUCCAGAGAUGGAGAGGAGGAGGAUGGCCAAAAAGAUCGGGAAGUGACCACCAAGAGACACUGA